CGGAGGGAUCAUUAAAGAGUUCUAUAACUCCCAAACCCAUGUGAACAUACCUAACGUUGCCUCGGCAGGUCGCACCUACCUUGUAGCACCCUACCCUGUAGGGCAUACCCGGGAGGUGCGGGUAAGCCUGCCGGCGGCCCACCAAACUCUGUUUGAUAUUGAAUUCUGAACCUAUAACUAAAUAAGUUAAAACUUUCAACAACGGAUCUCUUGGUUCUGGCAUCGAUGAAGAACGCAGCGAAAUGCGAUAAGUAAUGUGAAUUGCAGAAUUCAGUGAAUCAUCGAAUCUUUGAACGCAUAUUGCGCCCAUUAGUAUUCUAGUGGGCAGGACCGUUCGAGCGUCAUUUUUCAACCCUUAAGCCUUCGUUGCUUAGUGUUGGGAGCCUACGGCAACGUAGCUCCUCAAAGUUAGUGGCGGAGUUGGUUCACACUCUAGACGUAGUAAUUUUUUAUCUCGCCUAUUAGUUGGACUAAUCCCCUGCCGUAAAACCCCCAAUUUAUCAAGGUUGACCUCGAAUCGGUUCAGACAAACUCGCUAAAUUGAAGCAUCUUAGUCAGCGAAGGAAAAGAAACCAACAGGGAUUGCCCUAGUAACGGCGAGUGAAGCGGCAAC
Molecule: ribosomal RNA, 613 nt
Filed under: fungal endophyte
Lineage: Eukaryota; Fungi
Description: eukaryotic LSU rRNA
Rfam family: 5.8S ribosomal RNA (bases 191-344)
Source: RNAcentral